AGUGAACGCUGGCGGUAGGCCUAACACAUGCAAGUCGAACGGCAGCACAGUAAGAGCUUGCUCUUACGGGUGGCGAGUGGCGGACGGGUGAGGAAUACAUCGGAAUCUACUUUUUCGUGGGGGAUAACGUAGGGAAACUUACGCUAAUACCGCAUACGACCUACGGGUGAAAGCAGGGGAUCUUCGGACCUUGCGCGAUUGAAUGAGCCGAUGUCGGAUUAGCUAGUUGGCGGGGUAAAGGCCCACCAAGGCGACGAUCCGUAGCUGGUCUGAGAGGAUGAUCAGCCACACUGGAACUGAGACACGGUCCAGGCUCCUACGGGAGGCAGCAGUGGGGAAUAUUGGACAAUGGGCGCAAGCCUGAUCCAGCCAUACCGCGUGGGUGAAGAAGGCCUUCGGGUUGUAAAGCCCUUCUGUUGGGAAAGAAAAGCAGCAGGUUAAUACCCCGCUGUUCUGACGGUACCCAAAGAAUAAGCACCGGCUAACUUCGUG
This 492-nucleotide ribosomal RNA is filed under the name uncultured bacterium. Its description in RNAcentral is "partial 16S ribosomal RNA". It matches the Rfam family "Bacterial small subunit ribosomal RNA", at positions 29 to 507 of the family's 1533-position model. The record is from RNAcentral.